Molecule: long non-coding RNA, 2851 nt
Organism: Paramacrobiotus metropolitanus
Lineage: Eukaryota; Metazoa; Tardigrada; Eutardigrada; Parachela; Macrobiotidae
Exons: 7
Source: RefSeq, a predicted model, not a curated record
UUGGCACUGCUGGAACUGGCGUUCAUUUAUGAGUUUUGCUUUCCUAAGCAAAAUUUUGCGGUUGCAGCGUAUCUUCCAUAAAUUUGAUUAUUCGAAGCGUUUCUUUUAUUUACCCCAAGGAGACAGUUGCUGAUUUUGUUGGUUUAUCUGCUAUACAGAUCAGAAAACUUGUUCGCUUUGCCCAUCCAGAGAUGUCGCCGUUGGAGUACGAGCGCGUGAUGGUCGAGCAGAAACCAGACUCGUCGGAAGCCUUCCAAUGCGCAAUUUAUUCCCGAUGAUUAUGGGCAGUGGAGUGACUGGUCAGAAUGCUUUACCGAUGGCUAUGAAGAAGGAUACCAGUACGCGUUGCGUGAUUGUACUCAUCCGACACCAUGGAACAGCGGACGAUACUGCAGUGGAAAGCCUUUUGAACCACGAGGUUGCAAUUUCUGCAAAACAAGCGAAGGUUGUGAAUGGGGAUGCUGUCACCAUGCAUUCAUAAAUGUCGAUGAGGUGGCCGCAUUCGCCAUGGGACUUGUAAUGUCCCUACACAGCAGCGUUAUGAUGAAAUAUGUAAUUCUUACCCUUACGAAGAUGAGGCAUGUACGAGUAAUACGGACGCUUGUGACGAUCAGGAAGUUGAAGCGCUGUUAUCCUCUUGAAAUCCUUGGAGCAUACGGCGUUAGAACAAGAAUACGUUAUAAGUACUCUGUGUCCACCUGGAAAGGAUUCUGAUGCCUGCCACGGUCACGACUUCGAAAUCGAAAGAUGUCAAAAACGUUCUUGUUCAAACAUUUUAGGUUAAGAUGUGGCUUAGAUUCGGCCACUCAUCCCCAACCAGCGACAGCGGCAGUGCUAAGUGCGACAGCCGGUCCCCAUCCCUGGGAUGUUGUCGGUGCAGGGUAUAAUUUCUCAGGCUUGCAUUCAACAUAGCUCGUAUUUUGAGCUACAACAGUUCCUCCUACCAGAAAAAUCAUUCAUACAGCGAAAGUUAACACAAAAAUCAGUUGCACAUUUACCUUUUAGACCGUACGGCGUUGUGUCCCAUCCGGAUGUUGUCCGAUAUCCCAAUGUCGAUGAUGGCCCCCGGCCUUGUGGAGGUACAGUACUGGUUGUUCCACAUCCCGGUGGUUUCGGUGUCGUCGAGCUCCAACCAGUAAAAGUUAAUAACGGCCCCCAUCCCGCUGUUGUGCCGUAGGAAAGCUGCGCACUCUGUUAGUCAUAUCUAUAUGCAGACGUUGUUCCCCAUCUUAGAGGCGGCAGCGUGGUUACAGAACCCAAGCCGACAGGUGGCCCGUAGCGUUGUGGUCCGCUAACAACCAUUUGAUUAACUUAAACAGCGGACUAAAUAUACUGCAGACCUCCUUGUAGUCGGGAAACAUUAUACGGCUUCGCUCCAGGCGGCACUGAACCUCACCCCUGCAUCAGCUGUCCAGGUUGCACAAACGGGGCAGACACAUUUCGUGGUCCAUACUCGAUGUCAGCUUUGCUUUGGACUUGUCUAAAAGAUUCGUUGUCGGUUGGUCAGAAUGGGGACCGUGGAGCGGUUGUACGAAGAGUAUGGAGGUCAGAGAUUUGAAACUCAUGUGUGCGUCCCAAAAUAGAAAAGAGUGUACUGGACCCGGCAGGCGAAUGAUACCUGCAACAGACAAGCCUGUAGCGGUGAAGUUGACCUUUUAAUCAUUGACCUUUUAAUCGUAUUAGCAUUGUGUAAAAUUCGUUGCGCUCUUCAGAAACUCCGGCUUGUGUUAAGCAGCAUAAAGGAGACCAUGACUGUGGAAGUAUUCGAAAUUUUGUACUCCCGAUGGGUCCAGUUCGGUAUGCAUUGGCGGCUCUGAUUGUAAUUUUGAUUCUGCGGCUCCAUAAACACAAGCCACUUGCCGACGGGGCUUCGAGUCUGUUUCUUGGGUGCAGCCAAACUGUCCAUAUCCUCCUUGUGAACCGGUGCCUAAAUGUGUUUGUCCUCUGUCUUGUCCUUCUGGAUAUCUUAAGCACCCUCUUACCCGUGAACAACGUGCGCCUGUAAUUCGACUUGCGAAGCAAUCAACUGUAAGCCGCGACAACGGUGUGUUCCUCUGGAUCGUCUAUGCCAGUCGUGCCCUAGUGUCGGCCUGUGUUCAGAUGGAGAGUGUUUCCUGCUGCAGCUGUACGACAAGAUGGUUGAGAACGGGAUAGGCUGGUCAUUGUCCAUUUACGUCGUUCCCCCAAAUGCCAAUUCGCCACCGAUGCCAGGGCGUAAUUACAGUCAAAUGGCCUAUGCCUGGACAAAAUUACACAGGACGAAACACAUAUUCCCGAGGAGCGCCGAAGCCACUUCCGCUAGCGUACGGAGCGACACGGCCUGUUGAGAUUCCUAAAGUGCCUCAAACGCCAGUCGCCAGCAAUCCUCCAGCGGCAUCCAAGGCAAUGCCUGCCCCGCGUCGGGAUGUCAGACCCCAAAAUUCGUACCCAGAACGCGGCUGACGUUCCCAAAGGCCAAAGUUGAUCUAGUUCUAAUGCAACGCUAUCGUGAAUCUGUACACGCGGAUUAUGAUGAUUAUGACGAAGAUACGAGAAAAAUCCCCUACUGAACUGCGCGAAAGAAGCAUUAUGUGACUUUUGGGUAUCCGGUGAUUUUUAAUUGUGUUUGAAUUUGCAAUAGUAUUAUGGUUUUUUAUUCUCAUAGCAGAGAUUUUUGUUUUGUUCUAAGUGAGUAUUACUGUAUUAGUGAUUAUUUAUUUUUAGACUUAUUUUUACAACGUGUGAUCCCCUUUUUGGACUACGUAUAGGAUUUAGGGUGAACUUUUUAUUUCCGGUGUCUUUGCAAAUCUGGUAUAAUAUUCAUGUGCUGUAUUGGCUUCUAUAGAAGUAAAGCUAUCUGAAAGGUAACUUA